Small nuclear RNA from Otolemur garnettii (small-eared galago), 102 nucleotides. NCBI's taxonomy places the organism in Eukaryota, Metazoa, Chordata, Mammalia, Primates, Galagidae. The record is from Ensembl.
GUGCUCACUCUGGCCGCACAAAAACUGGAAUGGUAAAGAGAAAAUUAGCAUGGCUCCUUACUCAAGGGUGCUACACAAAUGUGUGAAGCACUCCAUUUUUUU